UUGGCCGAGUGGUUAAGGCGACAGACUAGAAAUCUGUUGGGGUUUCCCCGCACAGGUUCAAAUCCUGUA
Molecule: transfer RNA, 69 nt
Filed under: Coemansia aciculifera
Lineage: Eukaryota; Fungi; Kickxellomycota; Kickxellomycetes; Kickxellales; Kickxellaceae
Description: tRNA-Ser
Rfam family: tRNA
About the family: Transfer RNA (tRNA) molecules are approximately 80 nucleotides in length. Their secondary structure includes four short double-helical elements and three loops (D, anti-codon, and T loops). Further hydrogen bonds mediate the characteristic L-shaped molecular structure. tRNAs have two regions of fundamental functional importance: the anti-codon, which is responsible for specific mRNA codon recognition, and the 3' end, to which the tRNAs corresponding amino acid is attached (by aminoacyl-tRNA synthetases). tRNAs cope with the degeneracy of the genetic code in two manners: having more than one tRNA (with a specific anti-codon) for a particular amino acid; and 'wobble' base-pairing, i.e. permitting non-standard base-pairing at the 3rd anti-codon position.
Source: RNAcentral